GGUUGGACCGAGUGCAGUGGUGUUUACAACUGAUUGAUCGCAAUCAGUUACAAAUUCCUUUGGUCCUUCUCCACUCCCACUGCUUCACUUGACCAGCCUUAA
RNAcentral lists this Y RNA (102 nucleotides) under Prolemur simus (greater bamboo lemur). RNAcentral's name for it is "Y RNA (ENSPSMG00000023520.1)". It matches the Rfam family "Y RNA". From Rfam's summary of the family: Y RNAs are components of the Ro ribonucleoprotein particle (Ro RNP), in association with Ro60 and La proteins. The record is from Rfam by way of RNAcentral. Lineage: Eukaryota; Metazoa; Chordata; Mammalia; Primates; Lemuridae.